This 731-nucleotide ribosomal RNA is filed under the name uncultured Actinomycetes bacterium. Its description in RNAcentral is "bacterial SSU rRNA". It matches the Rfam family "Bacterial small subunit ribosomal RNA", at positions 31 to 754 of the family's 1533-position model. Lineage: Bacteria; Bacillati; Actinomycetota; Actinomycetes. The record is from RNAcentral.
GAACGCUGGCGGCGUGCUUAACACAUGCAAGUGGAGCGACGAACCAGGGCUUGCCNUGGGGCAGAGCCGCGAACGGGUGAGUAACACGUGGGUUACCUACCCCGAUGACCGGGACAACCCGAGGAAACUCGAGCUAAUACCGGAUGUGGUCUUCGGACUAAAGGAAGCUUCGGCCUCCGCAUCGGGAUGGGCCCGCGGCGCAUUAGCUGUUGGUGGGGUAACGGCCUACCAAGGCGACGAUGCGUAGCUGGUCUGAGAGGACGAUCAGCCACACUGGGACUGAGACACGGCCCAGACUCCUACGGGAGGCAGCAGUGGGGAAUCUUGCGCAAUGCGCGAAAGCGUGACGCAGCAACGCCGCGUGAGGGAAGACGGCCUUACGGAGAUUGUAAACCUCUUUCAGUUGGGCACGCAAGACUUCGUCGGUUAUAUAGCCGAGCCGGAGUGACGGUACCUUCAGAGGAAGCCCCGGCUAACUUACGUGCCAGCAGCCGCGGUAAUACGUAGGGGGCAAGCGUUGUCCGGAAUCAUUGGGCGUAAAGAGCGUGUAGGCGGCCCGAUAAGUCCGCUGUGAAAGUCCAGGGCUCAACCCUGGAAUGUCGGUGGAUACUGUCGGGCUCGAAUCCGGAAGAGGUGAGUGGAAUUCCUGGUGUAGCGGUGAAAUGCGCAGAUAUCAGGAGGAACACCAAUGGCGAAGGCAGCUCACUGGGACGGUAUUGACGCUGAGACGC